Molecule: long non-coding RNA, 343 nt
Filed under: Rattus norvegicus (Norway rat)
Lineage: Eukaryota; Metazoa; Chordata; Mammalia; Rodentia; Muridae
Description: long non-coding RNA NONRATT016689
Source: RNAcentral
CCUCGGGAGCUGAGGAAGAACGGAUGCUGUUUUCCUUCUGGCCCAGACCUCACAUGUGGAUUAGUAACACUCUGAGAUAGGAGCUAACGAAUGCCAAGUGCUUCCCUGUCUCUACCCAGAUUCGGGUCUCGCUGUGCCCGGAUAUUCCGUCUGGUGUUGCAGAAGAAGCACCUGGAGCAGAAGCAGGUGGAGGACUUUGCAAUGAUCCCUGCAAAGGAGGCAAAGGACAUGCUGUAUAAGAUGCUCUCGGAGAACUUCAUAUCACUGCAGGAAAUUCCUAAAACGCCAGACCACGCCCCGUCCAGGACCUUCUAUCUGUACACCGUGAAUGUGCUGUCAGCCG